This 208-nucleotide ribosomal RNA is filed under the name uncultured bacterium. RNAcentral's name for it is "partial 16S ribosomal RNA". It matches the Rfam family "Bacterial small subunit ribosomal RNA", at positions 568 to 774 of the family's 1533-position model. The record is from RNAcentral.
CUCGUAGGCGGUUUGACAAGUCGGUCGUGAAAACCCGGGGCUCAACCCCGGGACGCCGGUCGAAACUGUCAUGACUAGGGUCCGGUAGAGGUGAGUGGAAUUCUCGGUGUAGCGGUGAAAUGCGCAGAUAUCGAGAGGAACACCAGUAGCGAAGGCGGCUCACUGGGCCGGUACCGACGCUGAGGAGCGAAAGCGUGGGGAGCAAACA